This 480-nucleotide ribosomal RNA is filed under the name uncultured bacterium. Its description in RNAcentral is "partial 16S ribosomal RNA". It matches the Rfam family "Bacterial small subunit ribosomal RNA", at positions 28 to 523 of the family's 1533-position model. The record is from RNAcentral.
GAUGAACGCUGGCGGCGUGCUUAACACAUGCAAGUCGAGCGAUGAAGUUUCCUUCGGGAAACGGAUUAGCGGCGGACGGGUGAGUAACACGUGGGUAACCUGCCUCAUAGAGUGGAAUAGCCUUCCGAAAGGAAGAUUAAUACCGCAUAACGUUGAAAGAUGGCAUCAUCAUUCAACCAAAGGAGCAAACCGCUAUGAGAUGGACCCGCGGCGCAUUAGCUAGUUGGUGGGGUAACGGCCUACCAAGGCGACGAUGCGUAGCCGACCUGAGAGGGUGAUCGGCCACAUGGGGACUGAGACACGGCCCAGACUCCUACGGGAGGCAGCAGUGGGGAAUAUUGCACAAUGGGGGAAACCCUGAUGCAGCAACGCCGCGUGAGUGAUGAAGGUUUUCGGAUCGUAAAGCUCUGUCUUUGGGGAAGAUAAUGACGGUACUCAAGGAGGAAGCCACGGCUAACUACGUGCCAGCAGCCGCCGUAA